CUUUCUCACUGAUAAGUGAGGGUAAUCAUUUCGAAUUACUAGUUACACUAAACAGGCUGUUCACCUAUUGUAAAUAUCACUUUGGUUGGAAAGUCUCUUGCAUAAGAUCUCUGGAUGAGCCCAGAUGAAAGUUCAGUUCUACACCUAAAGGAAGAAGGUUUCAUUUUAGUUGCCAGAUAAUGAUGAUAUUCCAGCACCAGGUUACGUCCAGAUGAGGUAUGUUAAGAUAAGAUUGUGUGCAUUUGUGUAUGUCUUUUUGUCCAAAUUUCCUGUAGGUGGUGUCCCAAGGAUCAGAAGGAAAGGUAUGUUAAGAUAAGAUUGUGUACAUUUUUGUAUGUCUUUUUGUCCAAAUUUUCUCUAGAUGGUGUCCCAAGGAUCAGAAGGAAAGGUAUGUUAAGAUAAGAUUGUGUGCAUUUUUGUAUGUCUUUUUGUCCAAAUUUCCUCUAGGUGGUGUCCCAAGGAUCAGAAGGAAAGGUAUGUUAAGAUAAGAUUGUGUGCAUUUUUGUAUGUCUUUUUGUCCAAAUUUCCUCUAGAUGGUGUCCCAAGGUUCAGAAGGAAAGGUAUGUUAAGAUAAGAUUGUGUGCAUGUUUGUAUGUCUUUUUGUCCAAAUUUCCUCUAGGUGGUGUCAAAGGAUCAGAAAGAAAGGUAUGUUAAGAUAAGAUUGUGUGCAUGUUUGUAUGUCUUUUUGUUCAAAUUUUCUCUAGGUGGGGUCAAAGAAUCACAAGGACAGGUAUGUUAAGAUAAGAUUGUGUGCAUUUUUGUAUGUCUUUUUGUCCAAAUUUCCUCUAGGUGGUGUCCCAAGGAUCAGAAGGAAAGGUAUGUUAAGAUAAGAUUGUGUGCAUUUUUGUAUGUCUUUUUGUCCAAAUUUCCUCUAGGUGGUGUCCCAAGGAUCAGAAAGAAAGGUAUGUUAAGAUAAGAUUGUGUGCAUGUUUGUAUGUCUUUUUGUCCAAAUUUUCUCUAGGUGGCGUCAAAGGAUCACAAGGACAGGUAUGUUAAGAUAAGAUUGUGUGCAUUUUUGUAUGUCUUUUUGUCCAAAUUUCCUUUAGGUGGUGUCCCAAGGAUCGGAACAUCAGGUAUGUUAAGAUAAGAUUGUGUGCAUUUUUGUAUGUCUUUUUGUCCAAAUUUCCUGUAGAUGGUGUCCCAAGGAUCAGAAGGAAAGGUAUGUUAAGAUAAGAUUGUGUGCAUGUUUGUAUGUCUUUUUGUCCAAAUUUUCUCUAGGAGGCGUCAAAGGAUCACAAGGACAGGUAUGUUAAGAUAAGAUUGUGUGCAUUUUUGUAUGUCUUUUUGUCCAAAUUUCCUCUAGGUGGUGUCAAAGGAUCAGAAGGAAAGGUAUGUUAAGAUAAGAUUGUGUGCAUGUUUGUAUGUCUUUUUGUCCAAAUUUCCUCUAGGUGGCGUCAAAGGAUCAGAAGGAAAGGUAUGUUAAGAUAAGAUUGUGUGCAUUUGUGUAUGUCUUUUUGUCCAAAUUUCCUCUAGAUGGUGUCCCAAGGAUCAGAAGGAAAGGUAUGUUAAGAUAAGAUUGUGUGCAUGUUUGUAUGUCUUUUUGUCCAAAUUUCCUCUAGGUUGCGUCAAAGGAUCAGAAAGAAAGGUAUGUUAAGAUAAGAUUGUGUGCAUGUUUGUAUGUCUUUUUGUCCUAGUUUCCUCUAGGUGGCGUCCCAAGGAUUGGAACAGAAGGUAUGUUAAGAUAAGAUUGUGUGCAUGUUUGUAUGUCUCUUUGUCCAAAUUUCCUCUAGGUGGCGUCAAAGGAUCAGAAGGAAAGGUAUGUUAAGAUAAGAUUGUGUGCAUGUUUGUAUGUCUUUUUGUCGAGAUUUCCUCUAGGUGGCGUCAAAGGAUCAGAAGGAAAGGUAUGUUAAGAUAAGAUUGUGUGCAUGUUUGUAUGUCUUUUUGUCCUAGUUUCCUCUAGAUGGCGUCCCAAGGAUUGGAAGUGAGGUAUGUUAAGAUAAGAUUGUGUGCAUUUUUGUAUGUCUUUUUGUCCAAAUUUCCUCUAGGUGGUG
Molecule: long non-coding RNA, 1991 nt
Organism: Mytilus trossulus (common blue mussel)
Lineage: Eukaryota; Metazoa; Mollusca; Bivalvia; Mytilida; Mytilidae
Exons: 4
Source: RefSeq, a predicted model, not a curated record